GGAAAGCGGGGGAGAGGAACCGCUGAAAGAGGGAGGAUGCGAGAGGGAUCAGUGUUAAUGUGGUGUAAAGGGUAGGUAGGCGGGGUUAUAAUGCAGUGGGUAAGGACCAUCGCUUAAAGAUGGAAAGGUGAUGGAGACUGUAGGGCGUGAAUUUUUGUGAAGUAAGUAGAAGAUGUAGUGUAGCGGGGAAAUGCUUAGAUAAGACAUGGAAUACCAAUUGCGAAGGCAGGGUACUAACAAACAAUUGACGGUGAUGGACGAAAGCGUGGGGAGCGAACAGGAUUAGAUACCCUAGUAGUC
This 300-nucleotide ribosomal RNA is filed under the name uncultured Mycoplasma sp. RNAcentral's name for it is "bacterial SSU rRNA". The stretch from base 62 to 300 matches the Rfam family "Bacterial small subunit ribosomal RNA", at positions 557 to 795 of the family's 1533-position model. Lineage: Bacteria; Bacillati; Mycoplasmatota; Mollicutes; Mycoplasmatales; Mycoplasmataceae. The record is from RNAcentral.